This is a long non-coding RNA of Lolium rigidum, 1074 nucleotides long. RefSeq lists it as uncharacterized. NCBI's taxonomy places the organism in Eukaryota, Viridiplantae, Streptophyta, Magnoliopsida, Poales, Poaceae. The record is from RefSeq and is a predicted model, not a curated record. The transcript has 6 exons.
UAGCUCUCUGACCAUUUCAUUUCUUUGUGAUGCCAACAUGCACCUGACACGCUCCUUCGGGACCGGCAGGGGAGCUGUUGCUCUAACUCGCACCACUCCAGGGACAUCUACAGGGCCGGCGACGGCAGCUCCAGCCUCUGAGCUAGGGGCGGCCAGGUGUGCCUUGCCCGCACUGACAAGACGACGACGCACAGGUGAUGGGCCAUGGGAGGACGAUUUGAUGUCCAUCCACGACAGCAGAUGCCGAUUCGAUAAUUUCCAGUUUGUGGAUUUUACCAAGAUAAAGUCGACAGAAAUGUGCCAAGCCGAGAAGGAGCGAUUCAUGCUCGAAGCAGUGAUAAUCAACCAGCGGAACAGAUACUAGCUAGCAAUAUUGAGAGAUAUACUGAAGUCCUGACAUUGUUGGUUCCGAUAAUCUAAGCUGCAAUGGGAAUAGUUGAAGACUUAUUGUGGGCAGGUGAUAAUCGCUGACGGGCAGGAUGGAGCGGAAUUGGAGGUGGCCAGGAGGUAGCAGCAACCUUCGUGUAUGUCUCGGGUGCACUUUGUCCUGGUGCAAGGCAGCAGCAGGGCGACGCUGUUUGCUGACUGGAUAUGCGGCAUCGCGGCUGCCCUCUGGUUUGCUGAUUCGUUCCGUCUCCGACGGUGCGGGUAGUGGCUGCUGCUGCUUCUGUGUAAAAUUCCGCCGAAUGAAUUGUAAAGUUGUAUUUACUUGUUUCCUUUUGUAAUAACAAUGUGUGUAUAUAUAUAUUGAGAACUUGCGUCAGUGUUGGAUUGAAAUUGCAGCAGGUGUGGUUUAUGUAUUUUUUUACUUUUUUGUUUCUUGUUAUGCAUAGGCAAGCUGAAAUUUUGCAUAUUUUUCAGGUUCGUAUCAUAUUGGAGGAGGCCGACAAGCAGGGGUUCCGGGAGGUUGUCUUGGUGGUGAGCUGGGAGGAGGAGUAGGCGUGUUACUGAACGUCAUUGGGGACAUCAAGAAGUGCAGCGUGGUGGCGCUCCGGUGGAUUGACUGCAAGGUCUCCGUCGAGAGUAGCGCUGCUCCUGGCAGUCGCACUUCUCUGAAGCCCUCACCUAACAGGU